CUCAAGGAAGAGACUUCAAGUCCCACCGUCAGCACCCAAAGCUGAAAUUCUACUUAAACUACUCCUUGA
Molecule: transfer RNA, 69 nt
Filed under: Rhinolophus landeri (Lander's horseshoe bat)
Lineage: Eukaryota; Metazoa; Chordata; Mammalia; Chiroptera; Rhinolophidae
Description: tRNA-Pro
Source: RNAcentral